AUCAUAAGGAGCCUGGACUUACCAUUUGAAGGUGGUAGAAAACGGCGACCUUCAAAUGGGAAAUCCAGCUUCCUUCUGAU
Molecule: microRNA precursor, 80 nt
Filed under: Callithrix jacchus (white-tufted-ear marmoset)
Lineage: Eukaryota; Metazoa; Chordata; Mammalia; Primates; Cebidae
Description: microRNA cja-mir-617 precursor
Gene: cja-mir-617
Source: miRBase by way of RNAcentral